Molecule: microRNA precursor, 167 nt
Filed under: Zea mays
Lineage: Eukaryota; Viridiplantae; Streptophyta; Magnoliopsida; Poales; Poaceae
Description: MIR2118 microRNA precursor family
Rfam family: MIR2118 microRNA precursor family
Source: Rfam by way of RNAcentral
GCACGGAAGAGGAAGAAAGAGAGGUCCUAAGGGCAGUAGGGAUGAGAACAUGAAGGAACGCGAGUGCUCUGAAUUUCUCGUCUCGCACGGAGGACAUGUGCACUGUCGUGUUCCUGAUGCCUCUCAUUCCUAUGGUUCUUAGGUGCUCCUUCCUCUUCCUUUUGCUU